RNAcentral lists this ribosomal RNA (464 nucleotides) under uncultured bacterium. RNAcentral describes it as "bacterial SSU rRNA". It matches the Rfam family "Bacterial small subunit ribosomal RNA", at positions 338 to 795 of the family's 1533-position model. The record is from RNAcentral.
CCUANGGGUGGCAGCAGUGGGGAAUUGUUCGCAAUGGGCGCAAGCCUGACGACGCAACGCCGCGUGGAGGAUGAAGGUCUUCGGAUUGUAAACUCCUGUUGCCCGGGACGAAAAGCUCCGACCUAACACGUCGGAGUCUGACGGUACCGGGUGAGGAAGCCCCGGCUAACUCUGUGCCAGCAGCCGCGGUAAUACAGAGGGGGCAAGCGUUGUUCGGAAUUACUGGGCGUAAAGGGCGCGUAGGCGGCCUUCUAAGUCGAACGUGAAAUCCCCGGGCUCAACCCGGGAACUGCGUCCGAGACUGGAAGGCUUGAAUCCGGGAGAGGGAUGUGGAAUUCCAGGUGUAGCGGUGAAAUGCGUAGAUAUCGGGAGGAACACCGGUGGCGAAGGCGACCUUCUGGACGGAUACUGACGCUGAGACGCGAAAGCGUGGGGAGCAAACAGGAUUAGAUACCCUANUANUC